CAAAACCAAGUCGCAUAGUUAUAAUACCAUAUUUCUAUACCUAUGGAGCUCCGCGCGCGGCCUACGGCCGCGCUGGCUCCGCUAUUAUUUUAAUUAAUUGAUUUUUCAGUGACAUGUGAUAUUAAAGCAUGCACAGUUUACGGGAGGUUUUUACUUUGCGAGGAGGCUACUAACGAUGCUUGUACCUCCCACGAUCCAAUAUCCAUUGGCGCGCAUCUCGGUCAGCGUCAUCCCUUGACCUUGCUGCUUCAGGGCCUCUUUUAAGUUGCGAACAACUAACUCUGUCACUAGUCUAUUCCUUGGCAUAAUCAUAGGGAAAUUUGCUUACUCUGUUAGCUCAGGGGCACGUUGUAGACGACCACGACUUUCAAGAUUUUUUUCGUCUAGAAAGGGAUCUAACUUGUAAAGUGAGCUCGUUCUACUAGUAUCGACUUUCGAGGUCCUGUGCACAGAGACCAUGUGGCGCAUGAUCGGCAGGGCGCUGUUUCAUGUCUACGUAACGGCAUUGAUGAAUUGACGUUCCAUCUUGGAUUUGCUGCACUCUAUUGGCAACGAACGUGUAAAAUCUUCUGCUCUUGUUGGAAAUAUAUCCUGAAACGAUGUUUCAAGUAUUUUAAUUUUUUGCCCGUGGAAAUUGUAACGGUAAAAAGAAACUAAAAUUCGCCAACAAGUCCUAUCAAACGGCUCAAUACUAACAUAAUGAUAAAUUUAAUUCUAGCCUUAUCUUUACUUGUCGUGAACAAGGUUGCCCAGUGGUUGUUAGGUCUAGUUGGUGUCUUCAAGGUCACAGGUUCAAUUCCCUCGAAAUCCUUAAUUUUUGUUUUCUAUUUUUUUCUUUUUUUCUAUAUUUUUAUUAUACCGAGAAUACUGAAAAAGUAACAUAUCUGAAAAUAUUUGAUAACAUUCUAUCAAUGUUGAAAUGAAAGCUCAGUAUAAUGUAAGCAAUACAUCGCAUAUACUAUAACUUGAAAUUAAGUGAAGACAAUCAAAUUUUAUUAUGUACAAAUUUCAUUCUACAGAUGCUUAUGCCCAUUUCUCAAUGGAAAAAUAUAUCAAAGCUUCUUGGUAAUCCCACCAGUUCCAGGUAAUUCCUGCAGAGAAACUUUUUUGGAGUUUCUUGAUGUAAUCCUUUCCCGCAACUGCCUAAAGGAUAGUCUCUUGUAAACGCAUUGGUACACUCUGGUUAAAACGGGUGUGAACACACACUAUAGUUAGUUCAAUACCUUUUUAGUAAACUUAUAGAGAUAUUAACCUCUCUGACCCCUGUUCUUGCUUGUGCUCCUCUCUUAAUGGUAGCUGAUACCCUUUUUUGCCUAGCCUUUCUUUUGCAAGAUAUUUUGCCAGAACAGGUUGUUAAAUGAUCAAUUUUCUCACAUAGUUAUAUUUUUAUAUUUAUGGACUAUUUGACCUAUAUUACUCAAUAUGUUAAUGCCUUGUUUUGGAAUGGUUCAAAUUCAUGCAAUGGCGGACUUGAAAUGAGCAAAUUAAAUUAGGCGGGUUUGAUCCUUGGCCCACAACUGGGGCACAACUGUGAUUCACACAAAUCCGAAUUACCUUUCCCAAUUUCAGGAUGAAUUACUGACGUUGCUCACAUACUAUCUGGUAUGCUAGCCACUGAAAGGCACAGCUGACAAAGCACACCCCAAGUAUACACUGGGGAAACCGAGCGACAGCACGGCUUUUCCGGAAGCUUUCUAGGGACGAUUUCCUGAGGGCGUUUUUUCUAGGGGGCUUUUCUGGGGGUGGUUUUCGAGAGUUUGUUUUGCAGUUUUGCAUAAUCCUACUAGUUUUAUCGCUAAUAUAUCAAAAUUAAAUAAAUACAAAUAUUAGAUGCAGUUCUAGAGUAGAUCUCAAUAAUUUAUAAAAAAUUUAUAAAAAAAAGUGUAAUAAACUGCAAUAUAGAUUACGCUAAAAAUAUUUACUAAAAUUAGUUUACUAUCAAACUGAAAUGAUACUAACGUGAUCCAACAGCGACAACUUUCCGUGUAAAGGUGUGAAUUUUACGCGGGCCAUAUCAAAACCACUUCUUCCUCCAACUUUAACCACCUUCCCUGUGUGCUUGGGGUGUUUGCACGUAGUUGGAGGUCUCCAGAAUCUCCCAUUGUCUCCCUUCUUUUUACCCACCAACUCUUGACCAAACCCCUCCCCCAUCUUUUUUACCCACCCACACCUGGCCAAAGCCCUCCUCCAUCCUCGGCCUCUCAUGAAUGAUUUCUAGUGCGUUGAGGCUGACUUUGAUCCAUUCUUCCUGCCACCUUUAUACCUCGCUUGCGGCGGGCUGUUUUCUUCUUUUCUUUCAAUCCAAUAGAUUUUGUUUUUGCGAAAAUUGAAUCCUACUCGUCCUUCCCUUUAUCGUCUUAUGUAGUCCCUUCUCUGCUUAAUGCAGAAAUUAUCUUAACACAUAGGAGCAGCAUUCCUAGGUCAAACUCCUUUUCCUCCUCUUCCUCCAUUCUCAGCCUCUCAUGGAUGAUUUCUAGUGCGUUGAGGCCGGCUUUGAUCCAUUCUUCUCUUAAGCAAGGAUGCGGAGGCAGUCUGUUCCUUGGUCUCCAGCGGCGGUGUCUUUUAUACCUCGCUUGCGGUGGGCUAUUUUCUUCUUUUCUUUCUAAUAAAUAGAUUUCGAAUCUUACUCGCCCUUCCCUUUUUUAUAAUCCCUUUUCUGCUUAAUGGAGAAAUAUGUCUUAACAAGUAGAGCUGGAGCAGCAUUCCUACUACUGCCACCGCUAUAAGGCAGUAGUCCACCAUUUCCUUAGCUUCCUGUUUCAUCGUGCUAUCGUAGCAUGGACUUUGAUUCUGGGCUGAAACAAUGUAAUCUUACAACAUGAAAACACGAUUACAGGUUAUCUUCGAAGAAGUUGUCAAGGUGGAAUGAGGAGUUUGGGAAUGCAGGAAUCGACAGCCUGUCCUUGGACAUCAUAUUUAAUGAUGUCUUUUAUUUUUUUUAAGGUUGCAGUUGAUUGCUCUAAUAGCUAGGAAAAAUAUGGUUGGUGAAGGUUGACAUCCAAAAUGUCCUUAUCCCCAUCUCGCAUGCAGAUCUGCACAGUUGCUUCUCUUUUGCAUUCAGAAUACUUUGCCGUGUUUCACACUGAUAGAGUCCAAGAAUACAUCGUCAAGUCUCUUGCGGCCAACCUUGCCAGAAGUGUGAACUAGGAGCCUUGACGCAAACUUCAGCGGUUCUGCUUUGACAUUUCUGUUCACGAUUUGAAGUAAAUGAGGGCCUAAAAUCUUCCCAAUUGAUUGAUUGGCAGAGCUUAGUGUAGUGGAUGGCGAGGUGGUGGGUUUAUGCUUUAUACAUCCUGACAAUACGAUGCUCUAAAAGAUACGUGUUCCCGUCUUUCAGUUCAUCUAUAAAUGAGCCCCAGAUCUUGAGGAGUACAGCACAGGUGUAUCUUGAUUGAUACAAUCUUCCUUAACAUGUAAUUUGUCUGGUGUUUGUUUUCCUCGGUUCGUACAGAGUUCCUAAAACAUUGACUUUUUUCUUGUUAAUAUCGCCGAAGUAUAAAUUCAAGGACAAAAGUGUGGUUUUGGUAUGUUUAUUGUGCAGUAGGCGCUGCACUAUAUCUAAACGUUACUCUUAUUAGCUGAAAUUGGAUGCCAUCAAUUAACAUUGUAAUUUUGUAACUAUGAGCUAAUGGAAAUCAUGCUUGCGACUUUCAUAAGGCAACAAUAUGGUCUGAAUGUUAAAUAUUAUAUUUAUUCAUUUGUUUUAGACUAAUGAAAUGGCUUCAUACUGUUCGCGCGCACAUGACGCGCCAAGACGCUUUAACUAGGUCCCAGUAGGCUCGCAUAUAAGACAGGUAUGCUUGGUGGAUCCCGAUGAAUUUGCUGUAGAGGUGAGCAGAGCAAUCGUGGUCACCAAGAUCACUAAGCUGGUGGACCAAUCUCGGGUUAUCGGCGAAAUAAGAAAUCUUCAUUCCAUCUUGUUGAAAUUGACUUACCCAAAUGCGCACAGCUAUGUCACCGUAAGGAUGGCACACAAGUGAAGUAUUGCGGCUUUUGAUUUCCCCUCAAACUUAUUGUCGAGUAUUAAAAAGCCUUCGUCUAUCCUUGCUACACCUUGGCCAAAGUGAAGCCAUCCCCAGUACAAAAACUCCUCGUGCUUCCUUUCUUAUUAUCAAAGUAAAGAUGAUUAAGGCAGAUGAAGUAGUCAUCAUCUGUCCUCAAGAAGAAUUUGAAAUCAUUGCGCCCGUACGCCCAAAA
Long non-coding RNA from Nematostella vectensis (starlet sea anemone), 4197 nucleotides. RefSeq lists it as uncharacterized. Lineage: Eukaryota; Metazoa; Cnidaria; Anthozoa; Actiniaria; Edwardsiidae. The transcript has 2 exons. The record is from RefSeq and is a predicted model, not a curated record.